RNAcentral lists this ribosomal RNA (497 nucleotides) under uncultured bacterium. Its description in RNAcentral is "partial 16S ribosomal RNA". It matches the Rfam family "Bacterial small subunit ribosomal RNA", at positions 28 to 507 of the family's 1533-position model. The record is from RNAcentral.
GAUGAACGCUGGCGGCGUGCCUAAUACAUGCAAGUCGAGCGAACGGACGAGAAGCUUGCUUCUCUGAUGUUAGCGGCGGACGGGUGAGUAACACGUGGAUAACCUACCUAUAAGACUGGGAUAACUUCGGGAAACCGGAGCUAAUACCGGAUAAUAUUUUGAACCGCAUGGUUCAAAAGUAAAGGACGGUCUUGCUGUCACUUAUAGAUGGAUCCGCGCUGCAUUAGCUAGUUGGUAAGGUAACGGCUUACCAGGGCAACGAUGCAUAGCCGACCUGAGAGGGUGAUCGGCCACACUGGAACUGAGACACGGUCCAGACUCCUACGGGAGGCAGCAGUAGGGAAUCUUCCGCAAUGGGCGAAAGCCUGACGGAGCAACGCCGCGUGAGUGAUGAAGGUCUUCGGAUCGUAAAACUCUGUUAUUAGGGAAGAACAUAUGUGUAAGUAACUGUGCACAUCUUGACGGUACCUAAUCAGAAAGCCACGGCUAACUACGUG